Molecule: ribosomal RNA, 491 nt
Filed under: uncultured bacterium
Lineage: Bacteria
Description: partial 16S ribosomal RNA
Rfam family: Bacterial small subunit ribosomal RNA
Source: RNAcentral
AGUGAACGCUGGCGGUAGGCCUAACACAUGCAAGUCGAACGGCAGCACAGUAAGAGCUUGCUCUUACGGGUGGCGAGUGGCGGACGGGUGAGGAAUACAUCGGAAUCUACUUUUUCGUGGGGGAUAACGUAGGGAAACUUACGCUAAUACCGCAUACUACCUACGGGUGAAAGCAGGGGAUCUUCGGACCUUGCGCGAUUGAAUGAGCCGAUGUCGGAUUAGCUAGUUGGCGGGGUAAAGGCCCACCAAGGCGACGAUCCGUAGCUGGUCUGAGAGGAUGAUCAGCCACACUGGAACGGAGACACGGUCCAGACUCCUACGGGAGGCAGCAGUGGGGAAUAUUGGACAAUGGGCGCAAGCCUGAUCCAGCCAUACCGCGUGGGUGAAGAAGGCCUUCGGGUUGUAAAGCCCUUUUGUUGGGAAAGAAAAGCAGCAGGUUAAUACCCCGCUGUUCUGACGGUACCCAAAGAAUAAGCACCGGCUAACUUCGU